CCUGCAGCAGCCGCUGAGAGAGGAGGACAUGGCCAGCUUAAGGAGGAAGAUUUUGGCCAUCGAACUGCACUUAUGUGUUAGUAUGACUUCUGCUUCGAACAGGUAGUUUAAUCGGAUUGGGUGAAAUGGUGUUGACUAUCCUGAGCCGAGAGAACAUGACUCUAAAGGUUCGUGGACAUGAUGGACAUGGACAUGACCCCACCGGUCCAGUGCACUGAAAAGAUGUAGCAGUCGCAGACCAAGACUAGAAGGUGGUGGAUCAGUCCUGAAGAUGGCUUUAAUGGACGGACUUGGUGGAGAAGAGGACAUGGUACCAGUCUGGAUUGAUCCAGAAGUCAGAUCUGAAGAAUUAGAAGAAUUUUUCUUUUCUCCCCAUCAUUACAUUUUUGUUUAUGUCCAAAAAAGGAAUGUUUUGUUGGACACGAGCAUAACUAGUGCCAUGUUUUUUCCUUUAAAUAAGUUUACAAGUAUAAAAACAUUAAAUGUUUUCAGUUAUAAUUGCAUAAAUAUUUCAUUUCAUUACUUUAUAUACUGUUUAAACAGAAUGUGUGGAAAAAAUAAAACCGAUUUCAUACAGCCUC
Cololabis saira (Pacific saury) is the source of this 581-nucleotide long non-coding RNA. RefSeq lists it as uncharacterized. The transcript is spliced from 5 exons. NCBI's taxonomy places the organism in Eukaryota, Metazoa, Chordata, Actinopteri, Beloniformes, Belonidae. The record is from RefSeq and is a predicted model, not a curated record.